Molecule: long non-coding RNA, 534 nt
Organism: Ficedula albicollis (Collared flycatcher)
Lineage: Eukaryota; Metazoa; Chordata; Aves; Passeriformes; Muscicapidae
Exons: 3
Source: RefSeq, a predicted model, not a curated record
GUGGUGCCACCUCCUGUCCUGUUCCAAUGCGGUGCUCAGGUGUGCCAGGUGUGCCCAGGUGCCACCUCAGGUGUGUCCUCACCUGUCCUGGGCAUGGGGAGGUGACUGAGACACACCAGGUGCCACCAACACACAGAACAAAACAAUGUCACCGUGGUGCCACCUCCUGUCCUGUUCCUGGCCUGUGAUGAGGUCUCCAGGUGUGUCCAGGUGUGCCCAGGUGUGUCACACCUGUCCUAGGCAUGGCAGGUGAGCGAGGCCAGCAGGUGCCACCGACACAGAGAAAUGAAUGACGUCACUCUAGCGCCACCUCCUGUCCUGUUCCUGUCCUCUGGUGGUCUCCAGGUGCGCCCAGGUGCGCCCAGGUGCGCCCAGGUGCGCCCAGGUGUCAGACGAACACCUUGGCCAGGGCGUCGGCGCCGGCGCUGGCGCUGAGGGCGCGGCGCGGGUGGAAGGCCACGGCCAGCACGGCCUCGGCGUGCUUGCGGCGGUGAGCGGGCAGCUCCUGCACACAGGUGCGCUGGCACAGGUGCC